Molecule: long non-coding RNA, 603 nt
Organism: Olea europaea var. sylvestris
Lineage: Eukaryota; Viridiplantae; Streptophyta; Magnoliopsida; Lamiales; Oleaceae
Exons: 2
Source: RefSeq, a predicted model, not a curated record
GUCCCAUAAUUCUACAUCAGCAACAUCAUCGUGUCACUUCUCCGCCUUAUUUUUGUGACAAUAAUAGGCUGUUAAGACGUACCACCCAGUUUCUCGACCUACUGCUUGUUGACUGUACUGUAUCAUUACAAGGAUCACUAGGCCAUUACCAUUGGCGCAUAAUCCCCAUCAUCGCUCCUAGAACAAAUUGAACAUACAAUCUAGUGUUACUUCUGCCAGACUACUGUCGAUGUUCUGAGACACCAGUGGGCUUACAGUUGUGAGAAGGCCAAGGCGGAGCUGGGUUAUACCCCGAGAAGCUUCAAAGAUGGUCUUACAGAAAUGCUUCCCUGGUUGAAGAACUUGGGCUUGAUUAAAUAUUAGGAUGCUGAUCUGAAUUUUGCAUUGCAGGUUUGAAGUUGAUAUGUAAAUUGUGAUCCUUGAAUAUUCUGUUGCAGCAUUAUGAAAUAUAUUAUGUUGUUUACGGUUUAAGCUUAUUUUUAUGUUUUUACCUGAAUAAGUCCGAUGUGACUUGUUCAACAGAUCAUUUGGAUCAAACUACUUUUUAGUUGUUAUCAUUUGAAACUGGAAGUUAUAUUACCUCAACCACGCUAUUUUCAAUCA